RNAcentral lists this ribosomal RNA (395 nucleotides) under uncultured bacterium. RNAcentral describes it as "bacterial SSU rRNA". It matches the Rfam family "Bacterial small subunit ribosomal RNA", at positions 355 to 767 of the family's 1533-position model. The record is from RNAcentral.
UGGGGAAUAUUGGACAAUGGGGGCAACCCUGAUCCAGCCAUGCCGCGUGAGUGAUGAAGGCCUUCGGGUUGUAAAGCUCUUUUGGCGGGGACGAUGAUGACGGUACCCGCAGAAUAAGCCCCGGCUAACUUCGUGCCAGCAGCCGCGGUAAGACGAAGGGGGCAAGCGUUGUUCGGAAUUACUGGGCGUAAAGGGCGCGUAGGCGGUUUGCUUAGUCAGGCGUGAAAGCCCUGGGCUUAACCUGGGAUGUGCGCUUGAUACUGGCAGGCUUGAGUGUGGGAGAGGUUGGUGGAAUUCCCAGUGUAGAGGUGAAAUUCGUAGAUAUUGGGAAGAACACCGGUGGCGAAGGCGGCCAACUGGACCACAACUGACGCUGAGGCGCGAAAGCGUGGGGA